UAAGCAAAAUCCAGCUCCUCUCUGCAAGCACUGCAAAUGGAGAGUGCUGGAAUUCUCCCCUCUGGUUGCAUGUUGGAGCUGUCAAUGAGCAUAGCACAAGAACAGAAAUUGAUCAGAGACACUGAAUUAGCCCAGCAACUUCUAGACUUGCAAAUGUUAGUAGUGGGAAAGUUUCCAGAACAACUUUGCUUGAAUGCACCCAAGAGCCGCUCUCCCUCUGCACUGCCAUUAUUUCACUGACGUCUUCCUUAUUGUUUCAAGAGGCAGUCAGUUUGUGAUUUCAUGUCCUGAUUGCCUUCCUCUUUGUUUCCCUUUUCUGAAUAACAUUUUCUUUUGGAUGGCUUGGCAAGCAGGUCAUUAAGCGUAGAAGAGGCAGAACUUUGUUCAUGUGCUCAAAGUGCUUGGAGUCCAGCAUUUCUUCUACAGUGUCUUCGAGAUCUCAUCCCAAAAUGUUCAUUGUGGGCCACCUCAUGCUCCUUGCAAUUGGUGUCUCCCUCCACACAGCACCAUCAGAUGCUCUACGGUGUCGGGAGUGUGGAAUAUAUCAUCCAUAUCCAGAAUGUAAACCAGUUAGGAAGGACUGUCAACCUGAUACAAAAGAACACACCUGUGCAGUAUCAAGACUCUAUGAAAAAGGAGAGCUGAUAAGAACAUAUCGAGGAUGUCAUGGUAAGUCUGAAUGUGGUAAGAAAAGAACCUUCCCUCCUUCAAGAAGUAGUGAAGUCGUCUGUUGCCAUGAUCGUGACUUCUGCAAUGAAAACUUAUAGAGAGGUGCCUGAAGAUCUUCAUCAAGCAUGGCUAUGCCAAUUAUCUUCUUAUUUGACCUUUGCUCUCCUUGAACCAAUGAAUCCUAACCAUGCUUGUCUGGGAGACUCCCUGCAUUCUUAAGAAUUAAAGUGUAGAAUUGUUCAGAAGUCCAAGAUUAUACUGUGCUUUUAAAAAGGGGGUAGCUUUAUACAGUUUAGAAUACAAAUUUGGGAACACGUAUCCCAUGCAGACAAUCUCUUUGAAAAGAAAAGAAUAGAACAUCAUGGGAUUUUGUAGGGCGAUUGGACAACAACUCCCUGAAUUCUCCAAGCAACAUGUUGCCUGGAGCAUACUGGGGAUUGUAGU
Molecule: long non-coding RNA, 1113 nt
Filed under: Pogona vitticeps (central bearded dragon)
Lineage: Eukaryota; Metazoa; Chordata; Lepidosauria; Squamata; Agamidae
Description: lncRNA (ENSPVIG00000016447.1)
Source: RNAcentral